CCUACGGGUGGCAGCAGUGGGGGAUAUUGCACAAUGGGGGGAACCCUGAUGCAGCGACGCCGCGUGGGUGAAGGAGUGCUUCGGCAUGUAAAGCCCUAUCGGCAGGGAAGAAGCAAGACGGUACCUGACUAAGAAGCCCCGGCUAACUACGUGCCAGCAGCCGCGGUAAUACGUAGGGGGCGAGCGUUAUCCGGAUUCACUGGGUGUAAAGGGAGCGUAGACGGCCAUGCAGGCCAGGGGUGAAAGCCCGGGGCCCAACCCCGGGACUGCCGUUGGAACUGGGCGGCUAGAGUGCGGGAGGGGCAGGCGGAAUGCCUGGUGUAGCGGUGAAAUGCGUAGAUAUCAGGAGGAACACCGGCGGCGAAGGCGGCCUGCUGGACCGCGACUGACGUUGAGGCUCGAAAGCGUGGGGAGCGAACAGGAUUAGAUACCCGGGUAGUC
RNAcentral lists this ribosomal RNA (441 nucleotides) under uncultured bacterium. Its description in RNAcentral is "partial 16S ribosomal RNA". It matches the Rfam family "Bacterial small subunit ribosomal RNA", at positions 338 to 795 of the family's 1533-position model. The record is from RNAcentral.